GACCUGUGGUUUAGUGUCUGACAGUAAGCUGGAGAAGUUCUAGCGACUGUAGCCCACCAGGCUCCUCUGUCCAUGGGAUUCUCCAGGCAAGAAUACUGGAGUGGGGUGCCAUUUCCUCUUCCAGGGGAUCUUCCCGACCCAAGGAUUGAACCUGCAUCUCUUCCAUCUCCUGCACUGGCAGGUUUCUUUCAGAGGAAAUUGUUCCACAUAAAUUUGGCGUCUCAAAAAAAUGGACCCAAACUGACCUCAGAGAUGACCCCUCUCCUGUUGAGAAACCUGCCAAGAAUGAACAGAAUCCCAUCACCGCAGAGACUGCUGAAAAACUGGCCUGUGUGGCCUGAAGUUUGCUAAGUAUGUGGCGUGUUCUGUACUCACACAGAAAGGCAUAAAGAAUGUAUUUAACGAAACAAUUUUGGCUGCCCUGGAGACGCCAGAACCGAAGAACAGCCACAGGUGUGUGCUGCUAUCAACAACUCUCCAGGAGUGUUUCUGCAUAGCUGGUGUCCGCAUGAUCCUACAAGCAAUGUUUCAAUCAAACUAAGGG
Bos taurus (domestic cattle) is the source of this 544-nucleotide long non-coding RNA. NCBI's taxonomy places the organism in Eukaryota, Metazoa, Chordata, Mammalia, Artiodactyla, Bovidae. The record is from Ensembl.